UGUUAAGCUACAGGACUGUUUCGCUAGCACAGGCUGGAAUAUGUUCUGGGAUUCAUCCGAUGGCAUUAAGGAAAUUAUCACAUCAGUCACCGGCUUCAUUAAUAAAUUAAUCGAUGAUGCCGUCCCCACAGUGAACCUACAUCCCUACCAGAUGCUAUGGAUUACAGGCAACAUCCACACUGAGCUAAAGGCUAGAGCUGCCACUUUCAGGGAGCGGGACACUAAUACAGACGCUUAUAAGAAAUCCCACUACGACCUCCGACGAGCCUUCAAACAGGCUUGAAUCCUAAUAUGCCGGCUCUGAGUUCGUCAGAUGUGGAAGAGUAUUUCAAACUAUCACAGAUUACAAAGGGAAACACAACCGCAAGCUGCCCAGUGACGCGAGCCUACCAGAUGAGCUAAUUGCCUUCUAUGCUCGCUUCAAGGCAAGCAACACUGAACAAUGCAUGAGAGCACCAGCUGUUCCGGAUGCUCUCCGUAACCGAUUAAGAUGCCGGAGACUUGCAAGCUGCUAUCCAAACUGCACUCAGAAGCAUGCACAAGGACUUCUCAGAGAGACUCUAAUCUAGCAUGAGAGGUGCAACUGUUUCCCGCCAGUCUGACUGCCAAACCAGCGCCUGUCCCAACUCCCUUCUGCCCAGCUGCCCUUAUCUUUGCAAUUAGAGGCUCCUGGGCCUCCAGUACAGCAAAGGAUGUGCCAGAUCAACGGUAUGCAGACCAGGCCUAACCUCAUGGGCACAGAUAACUCAGAGAUUGUUGCUUUCAAAUAGCACUGCAUCAUGUGUGUGUGUGUCUUGUGUGAGGGGAGAAGGGAUGACAAUAGCAAUUUCAUUAAGCUCCUCAUGAAAUUGAAAGUGGCACUAAUUAAGAUCCUAGGGAUUCUAUUCAGUACAGGCAGAGUGGUGUAGGCCUAAUUGGACUUGAGCGGUUAAUUGUGGAUAAAUGGAAAUCAGUUGAAACAAGAGCCAAAACAAACAAAACAGAAUCUGCCAAUGCAAACAAAACUGCCACAUCAUUUAGUUAUUAUAACAGACUACAUAAAGUCAAGUAAAUUACAUUUGUGUUGCUGUGUAAGUCUCUAAGCAUCCUGGUCUGUUAAAGAGCCUGGGCGGCUGAUAUUUAGUCCCAGUCCUGAAAUUUCACUUCCUUAUUUUAUAAAAUACAUUUUACCAAGACAAA
This is a long non-coding RNA of Oncorhynchus nerka (sockeye salmon), 1179 nucleotides long. RefSeq lists it as uncharacterized. The record is from RefSeq and is a predicted model, not a curated record. NCBI's taxonomy places the organism in Eukaryota, Metazoa, Chordata, Actinopteri, Salmoniformes, Salmonidae. The transcript has 2 exons.